RNAcentral lists this ribosomal RNA (253 nucleotides) under uncultured Eubacteriales bacterium. RNAcentral describes it as "uncultured Clostridiales bacterium partial 16S ribosomal RNA". It matches the Rfam family "Bacterial small subunit ribosomal RNA", at positions 524 to 776 of the family's 1533-position model. Lineage: Bacteria; Bacillati; Bacillota; Clostridia; Eubacteriales. The record is from RNAcentral.
UACGUAGGGGGCAAGCGUUAUCCGGAUUUACUGGGUGUAAAGGGAGCGUAGACGGCCAUGCAAGUCUGAUGUGAAAACCCGGGGCUCAACCCCGGGACUGCAUUGGAAACUGUGCGGCUCGAGUGCGGGAGAGGUAGGCGGAAUUCCUAGUGUAGCGGUGAAAUGCGUAGAUAUUAGGAGGAACACCAGUGGCGAAGGCGGCUUACUGGACUGUAACUGACGUUGAGGCUCGAAAGCGUGGGGAGCAAACAGG